UACGUAGGGGGCAAGCGUUGUCCGGAUUUAUUGGGCGUAAAGAGCGUGUAGGCGGCCAUGUAGGUCCGUUGUGAAAACUCGAGGCUCAACCUCGGGACGCCGAUGGAAACCAUGUGGCUAGAGUCCGGAAGAGGAGAGUGGAAUUCCUGGUGUAGCGGUGAAAUGCGCAGAUAUCAGGAGGAACACCAAUGGCGAAGGCAGCUCGCUGGGACGUGACUGACGCUGAGACGCGAAAGCGUGGGGAGCAAACAGG
This 253-nucleotide ribosomal RNA is filed under the name uncultured bacterium. RNAcentral describes it as "partial 16S ribosomal RNA". It matches the Rfam family "Bacterial small subunit ribosomal RNA", at positions 524 to 776 of the family's 1533-position model. The record is from RNAcentral.